CUCGAUGGUGGCUGUGAGCAGGGUGCCCCCGGGCACGCCGGAAAAGCCUACUUCCCCGGUCGACUAACCUGCUUACAGCUGCCACCCCC
Molecule: non-coding RNA, 89 nt
Filed under: unclassified sequences
Source: RNAcentral